ACUCAACGUUAAUUCUUUAAAAAGGGUGAGUUGAAGUUGUAAAAUCGUGCUGUUAAUACGAAAGUGUUUAGACAGAUUUUUGAUCAGCUUGUUAGCCCUAAACUUGUUUUUAAGGAGUUU
RNAcentral lists this small RNA (120 nucleotides) under Winogradskyella maritima. RNAcentral's name for it is "6S RNA". It matches the Rfam family "6S-Flavo RNA". The record is from RNAcentral. Lineage: Bacteria; Pseudomonadati; Bacteroidota; Flavobacteriia; Flavobacteriales; Flavobacteriaceae.